This 206-nucleotide long non-coding RNA is filed under the name Mustela putorius furo (domestic ferret). Its description in RNAcentral is "lncRNA (ENSMPUG00000025476.1)". Lineage: Eukaryota; Metazoa; Chordata; Mammalia; Carnivora; Mustelidae. The record is from RNAcentral.
GUCAGUGCUCAGCUCCUGAUUUCCCUGUGGACACCCAGAGGCUACAAGACAGGCUGCGGGAGAUGCCGGGUGUUCUUCUGAAUGACUGGGGGCUGACGGGUUAGUCGGGAGCUUGGUGUUCCUCCAGGACUGUUUCCACCUGAAGGCAGUCACUGCAGCAACAUGUACGGGUUUAUCAACACCUGUCUACAAUCCCUUGUGACAGA